Molecule: long non-coding RNA, 908 nt
Filed under: Salmo salar (Atlantic salmon)
Lineage: Eukaryota; Metazoa; Chordata; Actinopteri; Salmoniformes; Salmonidae
Description: lncRNA (ENSSSAG00000084445.1)
Source: RNAcentral
AGAGAGGUGUUUUCUGCAAAGACUGGUCUGGGAGAGAGGGGAGGGGACAGCUCGCGCUCUCUAAGGCUUUCUGGUGGGAACGAAAGGUUGAGCUUGAUGCCGCUGGCAGCAGAGAGAGGACACAGGGGCCUAAGAAGGGAGGCCUACUCUUAACAUCACCCAUCCAGCAGGAUACUCACUGUAAACAAUGGCUAACCCCACCCCCAUCUCCAGCUUCAGCCAGGUUUCUCCCAGUCCUUCAGCUGAGUGGUCGGGUGGGGCUUGAUCAAUGGCAGGACACCAGCGGAUCAAAUGGUGAUUAAUCUGAAAGCGAUAGGCCAGUAUCUACACAACCAUACCUCUGAGACCUCUGUGACUUUACCUCCAUGUGAUGUUGGGGUUGUGUGUAAUCUUCUCCCCUAAAGUACACAGUAACCCUGAGGGUAGAUGAAUACAGUACACAGUCCUAGGGGUUGUUUAUUAUGCUCAAUAUGCUUAUUACUCACUCACUCUCCGCCAGCUGUAUGCAAAUAUAAAACAUAUUGCCUUGGGUCUCUGUGGAGAACCUCACUACUCGCUCAGACUCACCAUAGGCCUUUAUCUGUAAUUAAACACACUAACUUCGUCUCUGGGGUUAUUGAUAUUGAUAUUUGUAUCAUGAAUAAAAAACGUGCUGUAAGGGAUUGCACUGCUGUUUCCUUUUGGCGGCUGUUUGUCUGUCAUUCUGAAAUUGUUUAAAUAACUUGAUUAUAUUAUGUAUCUUCAAUAAAUGUUAUGAGCUGAUAUUGGAUUAAUUGUCCACAUUCUCAGAAUGCUGUAUAGUAUUAUAUAUUAAGGUACUUAAAUAUGAUACCUCAUGAAUCAUGGAUUUGCUCAUGUAUAAUAGAUAUGCUCAUGUAUCAUGUAUUGCAGCAGACAUAGGCCCCCCU